AUGAACGCUAGCGGCAGGCUUAACACAUGCAAGUCGAGGGGCAGCACGGGUAGCAAUACUUGGUGGCGACCGGCGCAAGGGUGCGUAACGCGUGAGCAACAUGCCCGUAUCAGGGGGAUAAUCCAGGGAAACUUGGUCUAAUACCCCAUAGCAAUUAAAGGAGGCAUCUUUUUAAUUUAAAGCUUUGGUGGAUACGGAUUGGCUCGCGUGACAUUAGCUAGAUGGUAAGGUAACGGCUUACCAUGGCUACGAUGUCUAGGGGUUCUGAGAGGAAGAUCCCCCACACUGGAACUGAGACACGGUCCAGACUCCUACGGGAGGCAGCAGUGAGGAAUAUUGGACAAUGGAUGGAAAUCUGAUCCAGCCAUGCCGCGUGCAGGAAGACGGCCCUAUGGGUUGUAAACUGCUUUUAUAUGGGAGCAAUAAGGUCUACGUGUAGACUGAUGAGAGUACCAUAUGAAUAAGCAUCGGCUAACUCCGUG
This 482-nucleotide ribosomal RNA is filed under the name uncultured bacterium. RNAcentral describes it as "bacterial SSU rRNA". It matches the Rfam family "Bacterial small subunit ribosomal RNA", at positions 29 to 507 of the family's 1533-position model. The record is from RNAcentral.